AGUCGAGGGGCAGCAUUUCAGUUUGCUUGCAAACUGGAGAUGGCGACCGGCGCACGGGUGAGUAACACGCUAUCCAACCUGCCGAUAACUCGGGGAUAGCCUUUCGAAAGAAAGAUUAAUACCCGAUGGUAUAAUCAGACCGCAUGGUCUUGUUAUUAAAGAAUUUCGGUUAUCGAUGGGGAUGCGUUCCAUUAGGCAGUUGGUGAGGUAACGGCUCACCAAACCUUCNAUGGAUAGGGGUUCUGAGAGGAAGGUCCCCCACAUUGGAACUGAGACACGGUCCAAACUCAUACGGGAGGCAGCAGUGAGGAAUAUUGGUCAAUGGGCGCAGGCCNUGAACCAGCCAAGUAGCGUGAAGGAUGACUGCCCUAUGGGUUGUAAACUUCUUUUAUAUGGGAAUAAAGUUUUCCACGUGUGGAAUUUUGUAUGUACCAUAUGAAUAAGGAUCGGCUAACUUCCGUGCCAGCAGCCGCGGUAAUACGGAGGAUCCGAGCGUUAUCCGGAUUUAUUGGGUUUAAAGGGAGCGUAGGUGGACAGUUAAGUCAGUUGUGAAAGUUUGCGGCUCAACCGUAAAAUUGCAGUUGAUACUGGCUGUCUUGAGUACAGUAGAGGUGGGCGGAAUUCGUGGUGUAGCGGUGAAAUGCUUAGAUAUCACGAAGAACUCCGAUUGCGAAGGCAGCUCACUGGACUGCAACUGACACUGAUGCUCGAAAGUGUGGGUAUCAAACAGGAUUAGAUACCCUGGUAGUCCACACAGUAAACGAUGAAUACUCGCUGUUUGCGAUAUACAGUAAGCGGCCAAGCGAAAGCAUUAAGUAUUCCACCUGGGGAGUACGCCGGCAACGGUGAAACUCAAAGGAAUUGACGGGGGCCCGCACAAGCGGAGGAACAUGUGGUUUAAUUCGAUGAUACGCGAGGAACCUUACCCCGGGCUUAAAUUGCAUUUGAAUAUAUUGGAAACAGUAUAGCCGUAAGGCAAAUGUGAAGGUGCUGCAUGGUUGUCGUCAGCUCGUGCCGUGAGGUGUCGGCUUAAGUGCCAUAACGAGCGCAANCCCUUAUCUUUAGUUACUAACAGGUCAUGCUGAGGACUCUAGAGAGACUGCCGUCGUAAGAUGUGAGGAAGGUGGGGAUGACGUCAAAUCAGCACGGCCCUUACGUCCGGGGCUACACACGUGUUACAAUGGGGGGUACAGAAGGCAGCUACCUGGUGACAGGAUGCUAAUCCCAAAAGCCUCUCUCAGUUCGGAUCGAAGUCUGCAACCCGACUUCGUGAAGCUGGAUUCGCUAGUAAUCGCGCAUCAGCCAUGGCGCGGUGAAUACGUUCCCGGGCCUUGUACACACCGCCCGUCAAGCCAUGAAAGCCGGGGGUACCUGAAGUACGUAACCGCAAGGAGCUCCUAGG
Molecule: ribosomal RNA, 1402 nt
Filed under: bacterium NLAE-zl-G305
Lineage: Bacteria
Description: 16S ribosomal RNA
Rfam family: Bacterial small subunit ribosomal RNA
Source: RNAcentral